AACGAACGCUGGCGGCGCGUUUUAAGCAUGCAAGUCGAACGGUAGAGGGGAGCAAUCCCCUUGAGAGUGGCGAACGGGUGAGUAACACGUAGGUGAUCUACCCUGGGGUUGGGGAUAGCCUGUGGAAACACAGGGUAAUACCGGAUACGCUGACGCUCCAAACUUUUGGAGCGUAAGGAAAGACGCUAAGGCGUCGACCUGGGAUGAGCCUGCGGCUCAUUAGCUAGUUGGUGGGGUAAAGGCCUACCAAGGCGACGAUGGGUAGCCGGCCUGAGAGGGUGUACGGCCACACUGGGACUGAGAGACGGCCCAGACUCCUACGGGUGGCAG
This 330-nucleotide ribosomal RNA is filed under the name uncultured Spirochaetota bacterium. RNAcentral's name for it is "bacterial SSU rRNA". It matches the Rfam family "Bacterial small subunit ribosomal RNA", at positions 29 to 351 of the family's 1533-position model. The record is from RNAcentral. Lineage: Bacteria; Pseudomonadati; Spirochaetota.